This 629-nucleotide ribosomal RNA is filed under the name Escherichia coli. RNAcentral's name for it is "partial 23S ribosomal RNA". It matches the Rfam family "Bacterial large subunit ribosomal RNA", at positions 1 to 664 of the family's 2925-position model. Lineage: Bacteria; Pseudomonadati; Pseudomonadota; Gammaproteobacteria; Enterobacterales; Enterobacteriaceae. The record is from RNAcentral.
GGGUUGUGAGGUUAAGCGACUAAGCGUACACGGUGGAUGCCCUGGCAGUCAGAGGCGAUGAAGGACGUGCUAAUCUGCGAUAAGCGUCGGUAAGGUGAUAUGAACCGUUAUAACCGGCGAUUUCCGAAUGGGGAAACCCAGUGUGUUUCGUCACACUAUCAUUAACUGAAUCCAUAGGUUAAUGAGGCGAACCGGGGGAACUGAAACAUCUAAGUACCCCGAGGAAAAGAAAUCAACCGAGAUUCCCCCAGUAGCGGCGAGCGAACGGGGAGCAGCCCAGAGCCUGAAUCAGUGUGUGUGUUAGUGGAAGCGUCUGGAAAGGCGCGCGAUACAGGGUGACAGCCCCGUACACAAAAAUGCACAUACUGUGAGCUCGAUGAGUAGGGCGGGACACGUGGUAUCCUGUCUGAAUAUGGGGGGACCAUCCUCCAAGGCUAAAUACUCCUGACUGACCGAUAGUGAACCAGUACCGUGAGGGAAAGGCGAAAAGAACCCCGGCGAGGGGAGUGAAAAAGAACCUGAAACCGUGUACGUACAAGCAGUGGGAGCCUCUUUAUGGGGUGACUGCGUACCUUUUGUAUAAUGGGUCAGCGACUUAUAUUCUGUAGCAAGGUUAACCGAAUAGGGGA